GAUGAACGCUAGCGGCAGGCCUAAUACAUGCAAGUCGAACGGAUAUAUGUUUUUCGGAAUAUAUAUUAGUGGCGCACGGGUGAGUAACACGUACAUAACUUGCCCUCAAGCGGGGGAUAGCCUUGGGAAACUGAGAGUAAUACCCCAUAGAAUUAUUGGACGGCAUCGUUUGAUAAUUAAAACUACGGUGUUUGGGGAUAGAUGUGCGUCUGAUUAGCUAGUUGGUGAGGUAACAGCUCACCAAGGCGACGAUCAGUAGGGGGCGUGAGAGCGUGGCCCCCCACACGGGUACUGAGACACGGACCCGACUCCUACGGGAGGCAGCAGUAAGGAAUAUUGGUCAAUGGAGGGAACUCUGAACCAGCCAUGCCGCGUGAAGGAUGACGGCCCUCUGGGUUGUAAACUUCUUUUGGAUGGGGCGAAAAAACGGGNUUUAUCCUGGACUGACGGUACCAUCAGAAUAAGCACCGGCUAACUCCGUG
RNAcentral lists this ribosomal RNA (482 nucleotides) under uncultured bacterium. RNAcentral describes it as "bacterial SSU rRNA". It matches the Rfam family "Bacterial small subunit ribosomal RNA", at positions 28 to 507 of the family's 1533-position model. The record is from RNAcentral.